GAUGAACGCUGGCGGCGUGCCUAAUACAUGCAAGUCGAGCGAACAGACGAGGAGCUUGCUCCUCUGACGUUAGCGGCGGACGGGUGAGUAACACGUGGAUAACCUACCUAUAAGACUGGGAUAACUUCGGGAAACCGGAGCUAAUACCGGAUAAUAUAUUGAACCGCAUGGUUCAAUAGUGAAAGACGGUUUUGCUGUCACUUAUAGAUGGAUCCGCGCCGCAUUAGCUAGUUGGUAAGGUAACGGCUUACCAAGGCAACGAUGCGUAGCCGACCUGAGAGGGUGAUCGGCCAGACUGGAACAGAGACACGGUCCAGACUCCUACGGGAGGCAGCAGUAGGGAAUCUUCCGCAAUGGGCGAAAGCCUGACGGAGCAACGCCGCGUGAGUGAUGAAGGUCUUCGGAUCGUAAAACUCUGUUAUUAGGGAAGAACAAAUGUGUAAGUAACUAUGCACGUCUUGACGGUACCUAAUCAGAAAGCCACGGCUAACUACGUG
Molecule: ribosomal RNA, 497 nt
Filed under: uncultured bacterium
Lineage: Bacteria
Description: partial 16S ribosomal RNA
Rfam family: Bacterial small subunit ribosomal RNA
Source: RNAcentral